Molecule: non-coding RNA, 45 nt
Organism: Schistosoma rodhaini
Lineage: Eukaryota; Metazoa; Platyhelminthes; Trematoda; Strigeidida; Schistosomatidae
Source: Rfam
AUCCAGCUGAUGAGUCCCAAAUAGAACGAAACACAAGUUCUAUAU